UGGGGAAUAUUGCACAAUGGAGGGAACUCUGAUGCAGCGACGCCGCGUGAACGAAGAAGGCUUUCGAGGCGUAAAGUUCUUUUAUAUGGGAAGAUAAUGACGGUACCAUAAGAAAAAGCCCCGGCUAACUACGUGCCAGCAGCCGCGGUAAUACGUAGGGGGCUAGCGUUGUCCGGAAUCACUGGGCGUAAAGGGUUCGCAGGCGGAAAUGCAAGUCAGGUGUAAAAGGCAGUAGCUUAACUACUGUAAGCAUUUGAAACUGCAUAUCUUGAGAAGAGUAGAGGUAAGUGGAAUUUUUAGUAUAGCUGUAAAAUGCGUAGAUAUUAAAAAGAAUACCGGUGGCGAAGGCGACUUACUGGGCUCAUUCUGACGCUGAGGAACGAAAGCGUGGGUAGCAAACAGC
RNAcentral lists this ribosomal RNA (403 nucleotides) under Fusobacteriota bacterium. RNAcentral describes it as "Fusobacteria bacterium partial 16S ribosomal RNA". It matches the Rfam family "Bacterial small subunit ribosomal RNA", at positions 355 to 776 of the family's 1533-position model. The record is from RNAcentral. Lineage: Bacteria; Fusobacteriati; Fusobacteriota.